CCUACGGGAGGCAGCAGCAGGGAAUAUUGUGCAAUGAACGAAAGUUUGACACAGCGACACCGCGUGUGGGAUGACGGAUCUAGGUUUGUAAACCACUUUCAGGAGGGAAGAAAAUGACGGUACCUCCACAAGAAGCCCCGGCUAACUUCGUGCCAGCAGCCGCGGUAAUACGAAGGGGGCUAGCGUUGUUCGGAUUUACUGGGCGUAAAGGGCGUGUAGGCGGACGAUCAAGCUAGGGGUGAAAGCCCAGGGCCCAACCCUGGAACUGCCCUUAGAACUGGUUGUCUAGAAUCCGUAAGGGGAGUGUGGAAUUCCUAGUGUAGAGGUGAAAUUCGUAGAUAUUAGGAAGAACACCAGUGGCGAAGGCGGCACUCUGGUACGGUAUUGACGCUGAGGCGCGAAAGCGUGGGGAGCAAACAGGAUUAGAUACCCUGGUAGUCCACGCCGUAAACGAUGUCUGCUAGCCGUUUGGGCACUUAGUGUCUGGGUGGCGCCGCUAACGCAUUAAGCAGACCGCCUGGGGAGUACGGUCGCAAGAUUAAAACUCAAAGGAAUUGACGG
This 561-nucleotide ribosomal RNA is filed under the name uncultured Alphaproteobacteria bacterium. Its description in RNAcentral is "bacterial SSU rRNA". It matches the Rfam family "Bacterial small subunit ribosomal RNA", at positions 338 to 916 of the family's 1533-position model. The record is from RNAcentral. Lineage: Bacteria; Pseudomonadati; Pseudomonadota; Alphaproteobacteria.